GUCUGCAUCAGGUGAAUGGCUUCCUUGCCCUCUCUGGCAACAAAGAAACUGGAUGAGGCUGAGCCAGAGACUCGAGUGGAGCCCUGCUCGCAAAAGUCACUGUUUGAAAGACAUACAACCAACUCCAGCAAGGCCAAGGCAUUGGCCAAUGAACUCAUAUUAAGAUGACUGGCUUCUCGGAGCCAAUUUCACUGACUCCUCUUAAAAGACCCAAGACUGGUGGCAGGCGAAGCGAGUGUCACUCUAAGGGUGCUCUGGAUAGGUCUAGAAUAAACUGUUCUUCCACUCUUUGAUGGACACAGUUCCUCCUGGAGUUUCCCGGGACCCUCAGCUCGGUUUCCUGGUAGCAAGAUUAUACGAGGGGGCCAAUGUCACCCAGCUUUGAAGUAUGACUAAGUGAAGAACAAGCUGAGGUCUAUACGGCACCCCCUGGUGGCAAACAUCUGAAGGGCGCUCAUUUCUUCUGAACAGCCCGGGGAGGGAAGGACCACCAAAACUGGGCACUGGUGCCUAUUCCGAUGAGGUAAAGCCAGGGUGGUAAAAGCAGAAGAAAAUGAGGGCUCAGCUGAAGUGCUGAAGAGCUCUGAGGUGUCCAUGGGCUGUGUGGAGUGAUUAGCCCGGAGGCCGGUGAAGGGCGGUUGGAAACCUCAGCCCUCGAGGCUGAAAGUGCUCAUCUUCCUGAGCAUGCGCACAUCCUUGGAACCUUUGCACAGAACACACAAACGGGCCAUCCCAACAGACCCUCCGCAGCCCACGCAGGUGUUUGGGAGCAAGAGAGACCCAUUUUGUUGUUAAGUCUCCAACGCCAGGCACAAGGCAACAGCUUGGGAGAUCACUGCUUGCCAUUCUCAUUUUCUUCUCCAGGAACACUGGAAGUCACAGCCUGGUCCAGGCUGGGGCGUGGAGGUGGACCCGCAGGGAGGACGAAAGAGUGAGAGAUGAAGGACGAAAACAGCCUGUUUCCUAUGUCCGUUUAGUGUUCUGUAGGAUGCCUAUUUCAAAACCGAGAAGCCAAUAAAAGAAAGAAAGAAAAAGAAACAGGCUCACCAGGGAGCACCGCUGAGCCACACUGCCUUGUGUGCAGCUCAGGACUCACCUGUCCUUUGAAAGACUCUAUUCCCCUGGGCACAAACACCUCUAGGCGACAGAGUGGCAAGAGACACAGAGAGUGCUCCAACCUCUCGGAAACAUAAAGAGAAUUUUAAAAACAAACGAAAACAAAGCUCUGCAAAUACCAAAUCCAGGCAAAGAAGGUGGUGCAAGCUUUUGGAAGGGUGCCUGAGCAAACACGAGGAGAGAAGAGACACUGCAGAGUUUUUAAGGCAGUCCACACGUGUUUCCAUUAACCAGUGGCAGACAGUAGCCAGAGAUAACAAAUACUGGAGCUGCCCCAUUCCUCUGUCCCUUUCCCUCAAUUACUAAAGCUUGCCAAAUGAUGCUGAGAAGAGAGAUGGAAAUGUCAUGAAAUCAAAAUGUCAGAGUAGGCUUGGAAAACCUCAGAGUUUGCCCUCACUGCUGACUCAGCCCUUAAUCAAGAGGCCAAGUCCGGCUUCACAGGCGGGUGAGAUCCCUUUAGUGUGAGGAAAGGCAAUCGCCACCAAGCCUUCCGACAUGAGUUCAAUUCCCCAGAGUCCACAAGACAGGAGAAAUCUGACUUCUACAGGCUCUAGACCUCCACACCGUGCACCCAUGGCACAGCUUGUGAACAUACAAACACACACACACACACACACACACACACACACGAGGUAAAAAAAAAAAUCUUAUUAAUAAAAAAACAAAAACAAAAACACUGAUCUGGAAAUUAAGGAUAAUGGCUAGUGUGAGCAGAGCCCCCCCACCCCCAACAGCCUGCACAUUCUGGAGUGGCCAGAAUUACCUACAGAUAGCUAGACCAUUACGUGGGCUAGCUCACACAACAUCAAGAGUCCCUGUAUAGAAGGACGUGUGCUAAUCCGCGAUCCAAGAGUGACUCAAAAAGAGACAAAGACUUCACAGAUCCCCAACUUACACUUUUAUCCUAAUCCCAAGACAAGAGAAGCCAGGUCCUCACCCAGUAGGGAAGGCACUGUACACCCAAGUGCCUGUGAUGAUCGACACCCCCCAAAAUAAAUGAAAGAGCAACAGCCAUUCCCUCUAUAAAGGCUGAACUUGGAUGUCAACUGGAGCAAAUGAAAGGGAUGCUCUGAGAGUUUCCUAAACGGGCUCAGAACUCGUCCCUUUGUGCACUCUCAAGGCAAAGCUGUGUGGUUGGCAUUUGGAUUAGAAUGACUAGGUUGCCCAGCUGUGCCUGUGUGGCACAUUCUGCUAGGGUAAGGGAACUGAAAGGAAAGAUCCACCCUUAGUGUGGGCAAGUGGCAUCUAAUCAGCUGGGAGCUUGAAAGAACAAGGUUCAGUUCUUUUCUUCCCUCCCUCCCUGCGCCCCUCUCUCCCUCUUCCCAGACUCCCUUCCCCUGCACAAGGAAGUCAGGCUCUAGGUGUCUUGGACUCUGAGCUUCACACGGAGCGAGGGCACUCCCAAGUUCCUCCCACCUUAGGCUCUCCCCUUCAGACCGCGUCUCGCCAUCUAUCCCCCUGGCUCUGAAGUGUCUGGACUUGGACAGAGUCAGCAGCCCUGGUCCUGCGCUCUUCACACAGCCUCUUGUGAAACCUGACAGCCUCUGUAAUUAAGCAAACCAGCCCCGUCCCUCAGA
Mastomys coucha (southern multimammate mouse) is the source of this 2693-nucleotide long non-coding RNA. RefSeq lists it as uncharacterized. NCBI's taxonomy places the organism in Eukaryota, Metazoa, Chordata, Mammalia, Rodentia, Muridae. The transcript has 2 exons. The record is from RefSeq and is a predicted model, not a curated record.